UUUGAGGUCUAUCCCGAUGGGGCUUCUGUAAUAGCCACACAUCGUUGGAAACGCCUCAUAUAGUAACUUGUGUUUUGCCUGACUCACAGGACUGCUUAUAGGUCUGUGGAAAGGAGGAACUACUACAAGACAUCU
Small nucleolar RNA from Cricetulus griseus (Chinese hamster), 135 nucleotides. The record is from Ensembl. NCBI's taxonomy places the organism in Eukaryota, Metazoa, Chordata, Mammalia, Rodentia, Cricetidae.